Molecule: long non-coding RNA, 589 nt
Organism: Contarinia nasturtii (swede midge)
Lineage: Eukaryota; Metazoa; Arthropoda; Insecta; Diptera; Cecidomyiidae
Exons: 2
Source: RefSeq, a predicted model, not a curated record
CAUUUUAGCUUAGUUUCAUUUUUUACUUCGGAAGCCACAGUGCUUUCUACGAACGUCAAAUAGUCUUAUGAUUUGAAAAAUGAUUAUUUCAAGUUAAGUUGCAAAAAUAAAUUGAACAAUUGAAGAUACAUUUCGGUUUGAGAGUGAAUUGAAGUGCUGAGUUGCUCACAUUUGAAUUAAUUUCCAAUAUAAUUGAUAACUCAACAAUUAAAAAGAAUAAAAAUGGCGAAAUAUUUGUUUUUUGUUUUGGCUAUCAUCUCCAUUUGGAUGGUGACUAUUACAUAUGCAAAAGAGAUAAAGUGUCGGGAAGUCGGAGAAGAUUGUACUUACAAUCUACAAUGCUGUUCAGAAUUUUGUAAUGGUGCAGGAUUUUGCAUCGACUACCCAAUUAAAUAAUGUGACAAGCUUUGGGUGUGCUAGCCAAAGCAACCUCUCCUCUCAAAAUGACUAUGACGAUCAUAUACUGGUUAUAAUUCCUUUCUCAUAACAUCGGCAUCAUUUUCUAAUUUGUAACUUUUUUCCGAAAUUUCAAAAUAUACUAUUUGUAUUUUAUAAAUAAAACAUCUCACUUUGUACUAUGCAUGUAAAA